Molecule: long non-coding RNA, 331 nt
Filed under: Nicotiana benthamiana
Lineage: Eukaryota; Viridiplantae; Streptophyta; Magnoliopsida; Solanales; Solanaceae
Description: long non-coding RNA (NBEN_LNC042464)
Source: RNAcentral
CAUGGUUAGUCGGUUCCUUUUCUUUGUAUGAAUCUGCAAAAAUGAUGUGUCAACUAAUUAAUAGGAGUUUGGACAAUUGAGAUAUAAUUUACUAUAACUCAAAAUACAAAAUAAUUCUUUUUAUUUCUCACGUGUUAAAAAACACUCCAGUUCCUUUCACAACCGGAUGAGCUACAAGUUAAGCUUAGAACUUUGACGGCGAAAAUCUGUAUCUCCGGAGUCUCUGCACCAUAUGUGUCCCACCAUUCAGCUAUAGAAGUCAAAAAAUAUAUUCAAGAGUUAAUAAGUAUAUAAAAUACAUCGAAGUUAGAGUAAUAAAAUAUAGAAACAC